CAGUCGCCGCGGUAAUACGUAGGGUGCAAGCGUUAAUCGGAUUUACUGGGCGUAAAGCGUGCGUAGGCGGCUUCUUAAGUCGGAUGUGAAAUCCCUGAGCUUAACUUAGGAAUUGCAUUCGAUACUGGGAAGCUAGAGUAUGGGAGAGGAUGGUAGAAUUCCAGGUGUAGCGGUGAAAUGCGUAGAGAUCUGGAGGAAUACCGAUGGCGAAGGCAGCCAUCUGGCCUAAUACUGACGCUGAGGUACGAAAGCAUGGGGAGCAAACAGGAUUAGAUACCCCAGUAGUCCCUGUCUCUUAUAC
This 301-nucleotide ribosomal RNA is filed under the name uncultured bacterium. RNAcentral describes it as "partial 16S ribosomal RNA". It matches the Rfam family "Bacterial small subunit ribosomal RNA", at positions 509 to 807 of the family's 1533-position model. The record is from RNAcentral.